This 254-nucleotide ribosomal RNA is filed under the name uncultured bacterium. RNAcentral describes it as "partial 16S ribosomal RNA". It matches the Rfam family "Bacterial small subunit ribosomal RNA", at positions 524 to 777 of the family's 1533-position model. The record is from RNAcentral.
UACAGAGGUGGCAAGCGUUGUUCGGAAUUACUGGGCGUAAAGGGCGAGUAGGCGGCCUUCUAAGUCAGACGUGAAAUCCCCCGGCUUAACCUGGGAACUGCGUCUGAUACUGGGAGGCUCGAGUAUGGGAGAGGGAUGUAGAAUUCCAGGUGUAGCGGUGAAAUGCGUAGAUAUCUGGAGGAAUACCGGUGGCGAAGGCGGCAUCCUGGACCAUUACUGACGCUGAAUCGCGAAAGCUAGGGGAGCAAACGGGG